This 253-nucleotide ribosomal RNA is filed under the name uncultured bacterium. RNAcentral describes it as "partial 16S ribosomal RNA". It matches the Rfam family "Bacterial small subunit ribosomal RNA", at positions 524 to 776 of the family's 1533-position model. The record is from RNAcentral.
UACGUAAGUGGCGAGCGUUAUCCGGAAUUACUGGGCGUAAAGCGUGCGUAGGCGGCGUGGCAAGUCGGAAUUGAAAUCCCAGGGCUCAACUCUGGACCCGGUUCCGAAACUGCUAUGCUUGAGCGUAUCAGAGGAGAGCGGAAUUCCCGGUGUAGCGGUAAUAUGCGUAGAUAUCGGGAGGAACACCAGUGGCGAAGGCGGCUCUCUGGGGUAUUGCUGACGCUGAGGCACGAAAGCCAGGGGAGCGAACGGG